RNAcentral lists this ribosomal RNA (324 nucleotides) under uncultured bacterium. Its description in RNAcentral is "partial 16S ribosomal RNA". The record is from RNAcentral.
AGCGACUGUGCAGGUUACCGCGGCUGCUGGCACGGAGUUAGCCGGUGCUUCUUCUGUGAGUGAUGUCCUUCCUGCCGGUUAUUGACCCGCAGGCCUUCUUCCUCACUGAAAGUGCUUUACAACCCGGAAGGCCUUCUUCACACACGCGGCAUGGCUGGAUCAGGGUUGCCCCCGAUUGUCCAAUAUUCCCCACUGCUGCCUCCCGUAGGAGUCUGGGCCGUGUCUCAGUCCCAGUGUGGCUGAUCAUCCUCUCAGACCAGCUACGGAUCGUCGCCUUGGUGAGCCGUUACCUCACCAACCAGCUAAUCCGACAUAGGCUCAUCC